UACGGAGGGCGCAAGCGUUGUUCGGAAUCACUGGGCGUAAAGCGCGUGUAGGCGGAUUGGUAAGUCGGGAGUGAAAGCCCGGAGCUCAACUCCGGAACUGCAUUCGAAACUACCUCGCUCGAGUCCCGGAGAGGGUGGUGGAAUUCCCGGUGUAGAGGUGAAAUUCGUAGAUAUCGGGGGGAACACCAGUGGCGAAGGCGGCCACCUGGACGGUGACUGACGCUGAGACGCGAAAGCGUGGGGAGCAAACAGG
RNAcentral lists this ribosomal RNA (253 nucleotides) under uncultured bacterium. RNAcentral describes it as "partial 16S ribosomal RNA". It matches the Rfam family "Bacterial small subunit ribosomal RNA", at positions 524 to 776 of the family's 1533-position model. The record is from RNAcentral.